GUUGUGUAGUUGUAGCUGUGGCUGUUGUAUUGCUGCUGGCCCUGCUAACUGCCCCCUGCCCCCUCCAGGCCAUGACCAGUGCACUUCUGUCUCUCCAUUUCCUCUUUGUCCGGAGGAACCAGUCGGCCGAGCAGUGGCGCAGCCACCAGCUCCUGAGCCUAAUCAGCAACUCGGCCACCAUGUUGAGCCCGGCCAGCUCAGAUGUUAUGGCCUGCGAGUACCUGUCACUGGAGGUGAUCAGCGCUGGAUACUGAUUGGCUUCCUCCUGUGCCACGGCUGCCUGAGCUCGAACCCGCAGUGCCUGGAGCUGUGGAAGCUGGGCCUGCAGCGCUCGCUCUACAUCAGCCUCAUCCGCGACGACGCCCUGCAGAUCCACAAGGUCA
Chelonoidis abingdonii (Abingdon island giant tortoise) is the source of this 383-nucleotide long non-coding RNA. RefSeq lists it as uncharacterized. Lineage: Eukaryota; Metazoa; Chordata; Testudines; Testudinidae. The record is from RefSeq and is a predicted model, not a curated record.